Molecule: ribosomal RNA, 598 nt
Filed under: Paraburkholderia sp.
Lineage: Bacteria; Pseudomonadati; Pseudomonadota; Betaproteobacteria; Burkholderiales; Burkholderiaceae
Description: bacterial SSU rRNA
Rfam family: Bacterial small subunit ribosomal RNA
Source: RNAcentral
GCCGGAUUAAUACCGCAUACGAUCCAUGGAUGAAAGCGGGGGACCUUCGGGCCUCGCGCUAUUGGGGUGGCCGAUGGCGGAUUAGCUAGUUGGUGGGGUAAAGGCCUACCAAGGCGACGAUCCGUAGCUGGUCUGAGAGGACGACCAGCCACACUGGGACUGAGACACGGCCCAGACUCCUACGGGAGGCAGCAGUGGGGAAUUUUGGACAAUGGGCGAAAGCCUGAUCCAGCAAUGCCGCGUGUGUGAAGAAGGCCUUCGGGUUGUAAAGCACUUUUGUCCGGAAAGAAAUCCUUCGAGAUAAUACCUUGAGGGGAUGACGGUACCGGAAGAAUAAGCACCGGCUAACUACGUGCCAGCAGCCGCGGUAAUACGUAGGGUGCGAGCGUUAAUCGGAAUUACUGGGCGUAAAGCGUGCGCAGGCGGUGAUGUAAGACCGAUGUGAAAUCCCCGGGCUUAACCUGGGAACUGCAUUGGUGACUGCAUCGCUGGAGUAUGGCAGAGGGGGGUAGAAUUCCACGUGUAGCAGUGAAAUGCGUAGAGAUGUGGAGGAAUACCGAUGGCGAAGGCAGCCCCCUGGGCCAAUACUGACGCUCAU